AGAGGAGGGCAGGGUCUGCUCUCUGACCACUGCUGUGUAAUACAGGGAGAGAGGCUAAACGGUGCUCUCAUGCAUGGGUGGGCACCAUGUGAGGGUGGACGCCAUCAUGGGUGGGUGCGGUCCAAAGGGGGCAUGCGCUAUGUUUUAGGCGGAGGAGGAAAUUUAAACAUUGUUCUUUCUCCAUCUUUUCUGCACGCUCUAUCUUUUAAUUUUUUGAAAACUAAAGACAGACAAGAGGAUUCAGAGGACUUGGAAAUGGCUGCCUGGCCGUAGGGGAUCGGCCCUCACCUGUGACAUCCCACUCCUUCAACUGUGCCUUGGCUCCCGUGAAAGCUUGCUCGUGGCAUCUUCCUUCCAUCGCAUGCAGUGGGAGUUAGUAAGGACCUGGGAUAUGGAUACCGUCAUCUUCCUGAUCCCACAGAUCCAGCCUGAGCCACAAAAGGCUUCUUUUGUUCCUCACAGGACUCUCCCCUCUGUGCUGCUGGAGAGAACAGGCCAUUCGGACUGAAGGUGACCUUGGAGAAGGUUCUGCGAAGCCUGGCUCAUUUCCAGCCGACUGAGGAAAAGCAGGAGACUGUAUCGGUCAACAGCGGAAGUCCUCAGCUCAGCUAGAGACAGUGUUCCAGCUGCAGUCUGUUACCAGUGUUCUUCAGUCCCUCCUUUUCUCUGUGCCAGCACAGACAGACGGAGCUAAGUGACAAGGGUCUGCGCCACCCCAGGUCACAGUCACUUGUGCUCUCACCGCCCGUGUAGAUGGGGAUGCGAGGCAAGAGAGCUCCUGCAGAGGGAAUCACUCAGGAGUCGUGUCUUGCUGGAUUGACAGCAGCUCCAAAACUGAGCGGAAGCAAGUGAGAACCAUAGCAGGAAUUCGACAAAAUUAGAAAGCGACAGGACUUGAAUCUGGGAUGUUCUCCACAGGCUCAGGCUCCAACUUGUGCUGUUUCCUGGAGUGGUGGACCAGUUAGGAGAUGCGGCCUGAGCCAGAGAAGCAGGGCAUAGCCUUUGGUUCGAGUGGAGAGCUGUUCUUUGAAAUCUUUUCAUGCCAAAGAGAAGGGAUACAACAGAGUGCCGGCCACCAUGUCCACGCUCUCAGAAAGAGGAAUGUUCUGGAAGCAAAGCAUGGCCUGAGUGGCUCUCGAGAUGUGAGCUCAGCUAAACUAAGACUUACUUCAUCCUUCAGACCUGCAGCCUCGGAGCUUCAGAGUGAGGCCUUGAAUGGCCCCACCAAUGGGAUAAAGAAAUAAUUGCUGGUGAUUUCAGUUGCCCUGUAGGUGAGGGAUCAAUAUAUCAGAGAGGACUGCUUACCAAACUUUGUACAGGAGUCUGGAAAUUUUGACUGUGUCUCCGAAGUGUGUAACAGUUAAUAGAUAGCAGAAUGUGAGCCUCUGUGUGGAUGGGUUUCUAUGCCCUUGGGAAUCCUGCGAGAUAAAUCUGUUUUCUCUUUUUAUUAUAAGACUUUUGUCACCAGCUGCACUUGAGUUUUCAUACAGAGAAACCCCCAAAUCACACCGCAUGAAGUGUCACAAAUCACACACGCGAUCUGUAGCCAUGCGUGACAAAGGGACCUCGGUUCAGCACUGAAGUUCUGCAGAAAGGCAUUUCACCUUAUCUCCUCAGAUCUUAUAUUUUUUUUCCUCAAGCCCUCAUUUCCAUUAUAUUCAUUUUCGGAGUGGCACAUGGAGGUAACAUUUUUCCAUAGCCAAUUAUCUUGGGCCGAUCUCCGGCUCUUUCCUUACUCCUUCACAAAAUGCAGGCAGUAGCUGAUGCUAUGUUUCACUCAAAUUAUCCGUUGCUGUAACGCAGGAUUUAAAGCAUGUGCCUGGUUUUUAUUGACUAGGCUUAUUUCUUGUCAUUGUCUGUUCCCUUACCAUGACCUGAUCGACUAUUCUAAUAAAGAGGUUCUAGCAUUCUCUUUUCAA
RNAcentral lists this long non-coding RNA (1919 nucleotides) under Mus musculus (house mouse). RNAcentral's name for it is "RIKEN cDNA 6720468P15 gene". Lineage: Eukaryota; Metazoa; Chordata; Mammalia; Rodentia; Muridae. The record is from RNAcentral.